This 454-nucleotide non-coding RNA is filed under the name Pan troglodytes (chimpanzee). The record is from RNAcentral. Lineage: Eukaryota; Metazoa; Chordata; Mammalia; Primates; Hominidae.
CACAUGCUUUUCAUCACCCGCUCUCACAUCCCAUCUGGGGCCUCUGCUUCCAUCCUACCAUUUCGCAAGCCUGGCCAACUCAAGCUCCGUGUGCUGCACCUAGAGCAGCCCAUCUCUGUGUCAGGGAGGUGAGCUGCUCAGUUGCCAGAGUAUCAACCUGAGCCCAGGACACUGCCAGGCUGCUGAGUCAAAGAGGGUUUAGCAGCCCAUUUUCAUAGACAGACAGGUGAGAGGAGGAUGCUGGACAUCGUCCCAGAGACAUGGGGACUCAAGAAACAUGAAGAUCUGUUCACAGCUAAGGGCACAUUUCCAUGCCGAGAAAUCGGGCAUGAGCGCAAGAGUCCUGUCGUCUACCAGAAAAAGAAAUCUUUGAGAGAACUGCAAUCCAAGCAAAUGUGGUGGGUGUGAAGCUUUCAAGAAGUUGGGUCAAGAACAAGGACUGAAAGAGGAGCAU